Eleginops maclovinus (Patagonian blennie) is the source of this 1821-nucleotide long non-coding RNA. RefSeq lists it as uncharacterized. Lineage: Eukaryota; Metazoa; Chordata; Actinopteri; Perciformes; Eleginopidae. The record is from RefSeq and is a predicted model, not a curated record. The transcript is spliced from 3 exons.
CAAUGUGCUUCUGAGAAACUUUAAAUAACAAAGCUCCGAAGAAAUGAUAUCACUAUGCAAAUAAACAAGCAGACCCUACAGCUUCCCAUCAAAUUAUGUUUUUGUCGCUCCCACAGGAAGCAAUGCACAGUCAGAUGCUGCAGACGUCUCACUGUAAAUGAAUAGGCAGACCUACAGCGUCCCAAAAUAAGUACAAUGGUUUGUCUCCCCAGCAGGAAGGAAUGCACAGUGAGAUGGCCCAGUUCUCAGAACCAUGCAGCAGACUGCCUUUCCCGCCUGCCCCUCAGAACGGAUCCAGAGACUGUUGCUGCAGUCUCUGCCCUGCUGAAUGCUGUUCCCUCGUGUGACUUCCCAGAGGCCUGUAAUUCCUGUCCAGAGUUACAUCAGCUGCACAACUACAUGACAGACGGGUGGCCAGCUUCAUCCAAAGGCCUGCCUGCUAACAUGUUGUCGAAUUAUCAGGUGAGAAAUGAACUUUCUGUACAUGAACAACUCAUUCUGAAAGGGAGUCACAGGUUAGUGCUUCCAGUAAAGCUACGCUCACACAUGGUACACCUAGCACACGAGAGCAACCAAGCUAUUGUACGCACAAAACAGAGACUCAGAGACUUAUACUGGUGGCCUAAAAUAGAUGCCCUCGUACAGUCAGUUAUUGUUGCCUGUGUGUCCUGCCAGCUGAAUGAUAAGAUAGCUAAAACUAACCCUGCACCUAUGACACCAGUCCCUCUGCCUCAGGGGCCAUGGCAAAAGCUUGCACUCGACAUCACAGGCCCAUUUGAGACUGGUCCGGUGGACUGUAAGUUUGCUAUUACUAUGACUGACUAUUAUUCAAAAUGGCCAGAAGUUUUUUGCCCCAAGAUGCACUACUGCAACAGUGAUCGCCUUCAAGAGAUCAGUGUUCAGCCAAAAAGGUAACCCAGUUUCUGUGGUGACAGAUAACGGUCCACAAUUCACAUCCUCAGAACUCUCCUCUUUCCUUGAAGAAUGACACACUUAACGCAUCAGGACUUCAAUCCACCAUCCAGAAUUAAAUGGAGCAGUGGAGAGGCUAAAUAGAGUGCUGAAGGAAAGCAGUCUCACUGCACAAAGAGAGAAAGCUCAGUGGAAAGCUCAUGUUGCUGAGUUUCUUCAGGUCUACAGAGCUACACCUCAUGCCACUACAAGGACAUCCCCUUUCCAGCUCAUGUGUGGAAGAAAAAUGAGAACCAAACUCUCAAUCCGACCAAAGCUUAGUGAUAUGCAGGCAGGAACCGGGAGAUAGAGUGAAGAGAAACAGUAGCACAUGAAAACAUACUCUGAUGCUAAAAGAAAUGCCAAGAUUCCCAAAAUACUUCUAGGAAGCCUGUACGUGUGAGAAACCCGCGGCAUGUCAAAAAGGGCAAGCCAAAGUUCAGUGAGCCUCUUCAAGUGACUCAGCAGAAAGGACCUCACAGUUACACGCUAUUUGAUGGAAAAACCUGGGAUUCUUCACACCUGUAAAGUUCAAUCCUCCUGCAGAAGAAGUGAUGCCUGCUGAGCCAGCUACAGUUGAUGGUGCUCAGAGCAGGAACCAGCAAAUCAGAAAGCAGAUUGAGGACUAUGUCACUUAAACUGUGGUUGUAUUAAUGUUUGAAAAUGUUCUGUGUAUUGUGAUAUGUGAAGUUUACUACAGAUUGUUACUACAGAAGCGUCUGUCUGUAAAAUGCUUAUAUUAUGCAUACUGUUCAAAUGGAGAAGUAACUCUUUAAGGAAGGGGGGAAAUGUUAGGUUCAGAAUGAUACUCCUGCCAAUAGAGCAGUGGUUGUUCAAGUAUGAGCGAAGAGUAAAGACCGUAAACCUAUA